Molecule: ribosomal RNA, 493 nt
Filed under: uncultured bacterium
Lineage: Bacteria
Description: partial 16S ribosomal RNA
Rfam family: Bacterial small subunit ribosomal RNA
Source: RNAcentral
AUUGAACGCUGGCGGCAUGCUUUACACAUGCAAGUCGAACGGUAACAGGUUAAGCUGACGAGUGGCGAACGGGUGAGUAAUGCAUCGGAACGUGCCCGAUCGUGGGGGAUAACGCAGCGAAAGCUGCGCUAAUACCGCAUACGAUCUGAGGAUGAAAGCGGGGGACCGUAAGGCCUCGCGCGAUCGGAGCGGCCGAUGUCAGAUUAGGUAGUUGGUGGGGUAAAGGCUCACCAAGCCAACGAUCUGUAGCUAGUCUGAGAGGACGACCAGCCACACUGGGACUGAGACACGGCCCAGACUCCUACGGGAGGCAGCAGUGGGGAAUUUUGGACAAUGGGCGAAAGCCUGAUCCAGCAAUGCCGCGUGCAGGAAGAAGGCCUUCGGGUUGUAAACUGCUUUUGUACGGAGCGAAAAGGCUCUCUCUAAUACAGGGGGCUCACGACGGUACCGUAAGAAUAAGCACCGGCUAACUACGUGCCAGCAGCCGCCGUAA